Molecule: long non-coding RNA, 1503 nt
Filed under: Triticum aestivum (bread wheat)
Lineage: Eukaryota; Viridiplantae; Streptophyta; Magnoliopsida; Poales; Poaceae
Description: long non-coding RNA (TAES_LNC012144)
Source: RNAcentral
CAUCAGUAGACCAAGUGGGUAAUCUUCUAUCUCAAGUCCAAGCUUUCAAUGCAUUUUUCUCUUUUUUUCAUGUCUCAGUGAUGAUCUGCAGGGCCGAAUUAUGCCACUGUUGAUGGUGCACAGGUCUGUUGCAUGGUAAACCCAGUAUUGGCCGUCCUUUCAAGCUCCUUUGUUCAUCCUAGAGAAAAAACUGGAAAAACUAUCUUUUAAUCUUUCUAUAGUGCAUUGCUAUGAUUACAUAUAUGGAUACAUCAUUUCGAUGUGUCUAGAGACCUAAAGCCUUUUAAGAGUUAACUGCCAAACUGGGGAGUGAUGUCAUAAUUGGAGAUGGGCUUCGUUCAGUUAUUCUUUUUGGGCCUAGAACGAUGAUGUUUGCAGAUGGGCUUUAUUCUGUCAUAAGAGCUUAUCGAUCCAGCAUGCAUAGUUUUGUUUCUUCAGUGUUCUGUGUCUGAGAAAAACAUAUGUUGUUUCCUAUUUGUUUAUGGUCGAGAUGGACGGAUUUUUGUUGUGUGGGCUGGAGGUGGAUUUCUGUUGUGUGGGCUGAAGGUUCUUGAGGUAGGGCACCAGCACCAGCUAAGCUUUCAUUCUGGUGAAAUGUAUGACAUGAUUGAUGAGCAUGCAUAUCUAUAUGGUUUUGUGGACACUGAUUUGGUUCCAUGCCAGUUUAUUUCCUGCAGUUGGUGUGUUUCUUUAUAGAGAUUUUUGUCACUAAAUUAAAUUAGAAACUGAGUGUGUACUGCUUUCACCUUCAGUUUAAACAUGACAUUAUCUUAUUUGUGAAUAGAUGGAAAUUAGCAAGCAAGCUACAGUUAGUGCAUGGAUGACCAAGUUUACUUAUUACUUUAUGAAGAUGAUUCUUAAAUGGAAUUAGGAGCUAGGUCCUGCAUGUUGAUUGUGCUUCAAGGUACAGUUGUCUGUACCUUAUAAAAUUAAAGCUUUUUAUUGGUUGUGCAUCCCAGGACAAAAAUCUUGAUUCAUAGAUAGCCAAAGAAUUGAUUACUCUCUGUCGUUGUAGGGAAGAGGAUGGGAGGAGGGGAUGCGUUGCUCCACAUUUUGUUAUGCACACCUUCAUAAACUAUACUCCCUCUGUAAACUAAUACUCCCUCCGUUUCUUUUUACUCCGCGUAUAAGUUUUGGUCAAAGUCAAACUACAUAAAGUUUGACCAAAUUUAUAUUAAAAAAUAUGAACAUCUACAAUACUUAAACUGUAUAAUAUGAAAAUACAUUUCAUGGUCUGUCUGAAACUGUUGGUUUCAUAUUGUGAAUGUUGAUAUUUUUUAAUAUAAAGUUAGUCAAACUAUGCAAAGAUUGACUUUGACCAAAUCUUAUAUGCAGACUAAAAAGAAACGGAGGGAGUAUAAGAGCAUUUAGAUCACUAAAGUAGUGAUCUAAACGCUCUUAUAUUAGUUUACAGAGGGAGUACUUCUCUUAACAUAUGUUCAUUAUCCAGCAGAAGCUGUAGAUUUCAGAGUACAAUAAUUUCCUGUUUAUACAUGGGAGCAG